RNAcentral lists this ribosomal RNA (460 nucleotides) under uncultured bacterium. RNAcentral describes it as "partial 16S ribosomal RNA". It matches the Rfam family "Bacterial small subunit ribosomal RNA", at positions 338 to 795 of the family's 1533-position model. The record is from RNAcentral.
CCUACGGGGGGCAGCAGUGAGGAAUAUUGGUCAAUGGACGAGAGUCUGAACCAGCCAAGUAGCGUGAAGGAUGACUGCCCUAUGGGUUGUAAACUUCUUUUAUAUGGGAAUAAAAUGUUCCACGUGUGGGAUUUUGUAUGUACCAUAUGAAUAAGGAUCGGCUAACUCCGUGCCAGCAGCCGCGGUAAUACGGAGGAUCCGAGCGUUAUCCGGAUUUAUUGGGUUUAAAGGGAGCGUAGGUGGAUUGUUAAGUCAGUUGUGAAAGUUUGCGGCUCAACCGUAAAAUUGCAGUUGAAACUGGCAGUCUUGAGUACAGUAGAGGUGGGCGGAAUUCGUGGUGUAGCGGUGAAAUGCUUAGAUAUCACGAAGAACUCCGAUUGCGAAGGCAGUUCACUGAACUGCAACUGACACCGAGGCUCGAAAGUGUGGGUAUCAAACAGGAUUAGAUACCCCAGUAGUC